This 618-nucleotide ribosomal RNA is filed under the name uncultured bacterium. RNAcentral's name for it is "bacterial SSU rRNA". It matches the Rfam family "Bacterial small subunit ribosomal RNA", at positions 338 to 947 of the family's 1533-position model. The record is from RNAcentral.
CCUACGGGAGGCAGCAGUGGGGAAUUUUGGACAAUGGGCGAAAGCCUGAUCCAGCAAUGCCGCGUGAGUGAAGAAGGCCUUCGGGUUGUAAAGCUCUUUUGUCAGGGAAGAAACGGUGUUUUCUAAUACAGAAUGCUAAUGACGGUACCUGAAGAAUAAGCACCGGCUAACUACGUGCCAGCAGCCGCGGUAAUACGUAGGGUGCAAGCGUUAAUCGGAAUUACUGGGCGUAAAGCGUGCGCAGGCGGUUUUGUAAGUCUGACGUGAAAUCCCCGUGCUCAACCUGGGAAUUGCGUUGGAGACUGCAAGGCUAGAGUUUGGCAGAGGGGGGUAGAAUUCCACGUGUAGCAGUGAAAUGCGUAGAUAUGUGGAGGAACACCGAUGGCGAAGGCAGCCCCCUGGGUCAAGACUGACGCUCGUGCACGAAAGCGUGGGGAGCAAACAGGAUUAGAUACCCUGGUAGUCCACGCCCUAAACGAUGUCUACUAGUUGUCGGGUCUUAAUUGACUUGGUAACGCAGCUAACGCGUGAAGUAGACCGCCUGGGGAUACGGUCGCAAGAUUAAAACGUCAAAGGAUUGACGGCNGAGACGUGCGACGACGACGACGAGGGAGGAGG